GACGAACGCUGGCGGCGUGCCUAAUACAUGCAAGUCGAACGAGAGCGACCGGUGCUUGCACUGGUCAAUCUAGUGGCGAACGGGUGAGUAACACGUGGGUAACCUGCCCAUCAGAGGGGGAUAACAUCCGGAAACGGAUGCUAAAACCGCAUAGGUCUUCGAGCCGCAUGGCUUGAAGAGGAAAAGAGGCGCAAGCUUCUGCUGAUGGAUGGACCCGCGGUGCAUUAGCUAGUUGGUGAGGUAACGGCUCACCAAGGCCGUGAUGCAUAGCCGACCUGAGAGGGUGAUCGGCCACAUUGGGACUGAGACACGGCCCAAACUCCUACGGGAGGCUGCAGUAGGGAAUCUUCCGCAAUGGACGCAAGUCUGACGGAGCAACGCCGCGUGAGUGAAGAAGGUUUUCGGAUCGUAAAACUCUGUUGUUAGAGAAGAACAAGUGCUAGAGUAACUGUUAGCGCCUUGACGGUAUCUAACCAGAAAGCCACGGCUAACUACGUG
This 498-nucleotide ribosomal RNA is filed under the name uncultured bacterium. Its description in RNAcentral is "partial 16S ribosomal RNA". It matches the Rfam family "Bacterial small subunit ribosomal RNA", at positions 28 to 507 of the family's 1533-position model. The record is from RNAcentral.